CUAUCAUAUAGCAGAGGCGGCGUGCGCAUCCGGAGUAAAUCAGCUGACGGUGCUACUAUAAUGUUAAUGUUUAAUGAAAGUGGAAGAUAACAAAACAAAUUGAUAUUAACUUAAGUUACAUAAUGUUCACAACUUACCACACCAGUCUGUCACUAAGCAUGGCAAUCAACUGUUUCAUCUUUAUCAGACUGCUACAUACUAACUAGUUUGUUACUUACAGGAACUAAAUACCGCUAUUUUUACGCAAUAAGUGCAGAUGUUGAUGCUGAGAAUCCCGGAACUAUUAUAAAAGUGGACACACUACGCAAGACCACGAAGACAUGGUGUGAAGAUAGUUGUUAUCCCAGUGAACCAAUAUUUAUACCUUCUCCCAACUCGCAAAGUGAAGAUGAUGGAGUCAUUUUGUCAGCGUUAGUAUGGGGAGGGGCAGAUACACACCAUGUCGGGUUAAUAGUUUUAAAUGCCAAAACAAUGCAAGAAAUGGGACGAACCGAAUUUCGUACGAGCAGUCCGGUACCAAAAUGUCUACAUGGUUGGUUUCUACCAAAUAAAUAAACAUAGGGCGCUUGGUAGCAAAUGAAAUGUGAGAUAAAUCAAUAUAUUAUAUUUGUUAUAAGCAAAUAACAUAACAACUAUUCUAACAAAUUAUUACAUAUGUAACGUUAACAAGAUGAUCAUUUAAUAUAAUAAAAUAGUUACAAACAUUCAGUUCGCACCUGGUUAGUAAGACCAAGUUUGAGAUACCAUUGACUUCCAAGUAAUCGCAACCUCGCAAUGUAGUUAAAAAAAUAAAUGCUCAUCAACCUGUU
This is a long non-coding RNA of Photinus pyralis (common eastern firefly), 809 nucleotides long. RefSeq lists it as uncharacterized. The transcript is spliced from 2 exons. The record is from RefSeq and is a predicted model, not a curated record. NCBI's taxonomy places the organism in Eukaryota, Metazoa, Arthropoda, Insecta, Coleoptera, Lampyridae.